AACCUGGUGGUGCAAUGGUAGCACUUCUCCGAUAGGGCUGGCGAAUUUUAGGGCGAAUCAAACUACUACCCACUGGAGGUCUGUGUAGGAGAAUUACUGGGUUCGAAUCCCAGCCAGGCUU
This is a non-coding RNA of Neopestalotiopsis sp. 37M, 121 nucleotides long. The record is from the annotation of a GenBank genome assembly. Lineage: Eukaryota; Fungi; Ascomycota; Sordariomycetes; Amphisphaeriales; Sporocadaceae.